Molecule: transfer RNA, 78 nt
Filed under: Candidatus Omnitrophota bacterium
Lineage: Bacteria; Pseudomonadati; Candidatus Omnitrophota
Description: tRNA-Pro
Rfam family: tRNA
About the family: Transfer RNA (tRNA) molecules are approximately 80 nucleotides in length. Their secondary structure includes four short double-helical elements and three loops (D, anti-codon, and T loops). Further hydrogen bonds mediate the characteristic L-shaped molecular structure. tRNAs have two regions of fundamental functional importance: the anti-codon, which is responsible for specific mRNA codon recognition, and the 3' end, to which the tRNAs corresponding amino acid is attached (by aminoacyl-tRNA synthetases). tRNAs cope with the degeneracy of the genetic code in two manners: having more than one tRNA (with a specific anti-codon) for a particular amino acid; and 'wobble' base-pairing, i.e. permitting non-standard base-pairing at the 3rd anti-codon position.
Source: RNAcentral
CGGGGCGUGGCUCAGUUGGCUUAGAGCACCUGCUUUGGGAGCAGGGGGUCGCUGGUUCGAGUCCAGCCGCCCCGACCA